RNAcentral lists this long non-coding RNA (647 nucleotides) under Mytilus galloprovincialis (Mediterranean mussel). Lineage: Eukaryota; Metazoa; Mollusca; Bivalvia; Mytilida; Mytilidae. The record is from RNAcentral.
UUUGGUAUUGUUAUCAUUUUUUUAAAACCUAAAUUACACACUUAAAAGUGUUAAUGAUGUUUGAAGCUUUUAUUUGAAUGGAUGCAGCCUGCAUUAGCGGAUCCGGUAUGCGGGGAGAGGGAGUUUUGGUGGUUGAAACCCCAUUUUUUCCGAUUUUUUUUUUUUUAUUUUGUGGACGUUUCAGUGUGUUCCGUGGUUUGGAUCCCCCUUUUGCAGAAAGGCGGGAUCCGCACCUGGUCUGAUAUCGUCAAUAAUAGUAUGAUGAUCCGAUCAUUCAUCUGAUUUUUUAUAGUUUGGUCUUGUGCUGUGCUAGUUUUGGGGAGAAAUGAGCGCACACAGACAUUUUUAACCCUGCCAAAUUCUUUAUGUACCUGUUUCAAGUCAAGAGCUCGUAGUUCAGUGGUUGUCGUUGGUUCAUGUCUGUCAUAUAUAUUUUUUCGUAAAUUGUUUUAUUAUGAAUUAGGCCGUCAGUUAAAUUCGAAAGGUAUUGAUUCUUAUUUUUCAUGUCGGGACCUUUUAUAGCCGACUAUAAUAAUUGCUUAAAUCCAUUUAUUUUUUGAACUUUGACAAUCAUAUCACAUCUCCUUAUUUUUAUAUUGAAGAUAUAAAUGUGGUUUGAUAAAAAUGUUGUUCUUACUAAAAAAAAA